UACGUAGGGUGCGAGCGUUAAUCGGAUUUACUGGGCGUAAAGCGUGCGCAGGCGGCCCGUUAAGACAGGUGUGAAAUCCCUGGGCUCAACCUAGGAAUUGCGCUUGUGACUGGCGGGCUUGAGUACGGGAGAGGGGGGUGGAAUUCCUGGUGUAGCAGUGAAAUGCGUAGAGAUCAGGAGGAACACCGAUGGCGAAGGCAGCCCCCUGGGCCUGUACUGACGCUCAUGCACGAAAGCGUGGGGAGCAAACAGG
RNAcentral lists this ribosomal RNA (253 nucleotides) under uncultured microorganism. RNAcentral's name for it is "partial 16S ribosomal RNA". It matches the Rfam family "Bacterial small subunit ribosomal RNA", at positions 524 to 776 of the family's 1533-position model. The record is from RNAcentral.